AAGAUCAUGCUUUUAGGGAUCAUUUCUAUAGUAUGCAUCUUGAAAACGUCGUCAUAUUUUGACGAUACGACAACUGCGAUGACGAGUCGUAGGAUUCUCCUCUGAGCAUGAAGCUUUACUGUUUAUAAAUUUAUUUACACACAGUUAUUGAGGAUUGUUUUCAAUACAAAUUCUAGUAUUGAAAGGAGGAGAAUCCUUGCUGAGCAGU
Ciona intestinalis (vase tunicate) is the source of this 208-nucleotide non-coding RNA. NCBI's taxonomy places the organism in Eukaryota, Metazoa, Chordata, Ascidiacea, Phlebobranchia, Cionidae. The record is from Rfam.